GGGCUCUUGGCACAGGGGUAGCGCGCACGCUUCGCAUCAUUGCUCAAUCGUUGCUUGCGUGAGGUCGUGGGUUCAAUUCCCACAGUGUCCA
This is a non-coding RNA of Lyophyllum atratum, 91 nucleotides long. Lineage: Eukaryota; Fungi; Basidiomycota; Agaricomycetes; Agaricales; Lyophyllaceae. The record is from the annotation of a GenBank genome assembly.